UGUUCAGUGAUCUGGCCUUGACAAAUUGGGCUAUUAACAUCCAUUUCUAUCCUAUACCUAUACCUAUACUCUAAGGUGAUACUAGCAGAGCAGAGUAUAGACCUAUCCAAGUAUUUUUCCUGCUUGAGUGUACUGGAGCACGAGGGUGGGCACUACCUGCCAGCCACCGGUCAACCUAAACUUAAACUUCAGGAUUUCUUGACACAGAUGCAAGAAAUCUGUUUCAAGUAAACUUGUAUUUGUUUUUUGAAUAAAAUUUAUUCAAUUAUA
Molecule: long non-coding RNA, 270 nt
Organism: Eurytemora carolleeae
Lineage: Eukaryota; Metazoa; Arthropoda; Copepoda; Calanoida; Temoridae
Exons: 2
Source: RefSeq, a predicted model, not a curated record